AGCAACCUAGGUUAUUAGGAACUGUUUGUUUUCAAAACAAAAGGAGGGUGUUUGGUCCGGUUGCUG
Molecule: transfer RNA, 66 nt
Filed under: Echinostoma revolutum
Lineage: Eukaryota; Metazoa; Platyhelminthes; Trematoda; Plagiorchiida; Echinostomatidae
Also listed under: 1 other name
Description: tRNA-Trp
Source: RNAcentral